GUCAACAAUUAUGUGUCUCUGCGAAGUGAAUGUUGUAGGAGGACGGGAUUGUUUACUGCGCGGAAUUUUCGUCACCAUGCCUCGAGUAGCUGCGCCAAGAGGAACUGUUAGAGAACGAGAUGAAUCAAGCAAACUCCUCAAUCAACAUUACCUAUCGGUCUCUUCCUUGAUAGUGAGGAGAAUAUUGAAUGGAGACGGCGAGGGACAACUCUCAAGGUAGUUGACUGGUAAUCGCCGUUCUCCAGCGUGAUGAAGGAAAGCAGGCAGCGUUCACAUGGAAGGGCUAGGGUAGGAUCAGGACAUACAGGGUACCACAAGUUCCCAUCCACAAAUCUGACGCUACCAAGUUUCGCCUGAUGAAAAGUAAUGAAUAAAUCGAACAAAUGAAAAUCAAAGGAAACCGAUAAAUGAAAGUAAAACCACGAUAAAUUGUCAGGUUAUGUUGAUGCGUAUUGGCGUUGAGGGAUAUGUGAAAAUAUAGAAAAAGAAAGAAAGAAAGG
Portunus trituberculatus (swimming crab) is the source of this 500-nucleotide long non-coding RNA. RefSeq lists it as uncharacterized. Lineage: Eukaryota; Metazoa; Arthropoda; Malacostraca; Decapoda; Portunidae. The transcript has 4 exons. The record is from RefSeq and is a predicted model, not a curated record.